This 395-nucleotide ribosomal RNA is filed under the name uncultured bacterium. Its description in RNAcentral is "partial 16S ribosomal RNA". It matches the Rfam family "Bacterial small subunit ribosomal RNA", at positions 523 to 918 of the family's 1533-position model. The record is from RNAcentral.
AUACGUAGGGUGCAAGCGUUAAUCGGAAUUACUGGGCGUAAAGCGUGCGCAGGCGGUUUUGUAAGACAGUGGUGAAAUCCCCGGGCUCAACCUGGGAACUGCCAUUGUGACUGCAAGGCUGGAGUGCGGCAGAGGGGGAUGGAAUUCCGCGUGUAGCAGUGAAAUGUGUAUAUAUGCGGAGGAACACCGAUGGCGAAGGGAAUCACCUGGGCCAUCACUUACGCUCAUGCACAAAAUAGUGGGGAGCAAACAGUAUAAGAUACCCUGGUAGUCCACGCAAUAAACGAUGUCAUCUGGGUUUUGGGGAUUUAUUUUCUCAGUAGCGAAGCUAACGCGUGAAGUUGACCGCCUGGGGAGUACGGCCGCAAGGUUAAAACUCAAAGGAAUUGACGGGG